AAUAGAUACCCGGGUAGUCCACGCCGUAAACGAUGAGUGCUAAGUGUUAGAGGGUUUCCGCCCUUUAGUGCUGCAGCUAACGCAUUAAGCACUCCGCCUGGGGAGUACGGCCGCAAGGCUGAAACUCAAAGGAAUUGACGGGGGCCCGCACAAGCGGUGGAGCAUGUGGUUUAAUUCGAAGCAACGCGAAGAACCUUACCAGGUCUUGACAUCCUCUGACCUCCCUGGAGACAGGGCUUUCCCCUUCGGGGGACAGAGUGACAGGUGGUGCAUGGUUGUCGUCAGCUCGUGUCGUGAGAUGUUGGGUUAAGUCCCGCAACGAGCGCAACCCUUGACCUUAGUUGCCAGCAUUCAGUUGGGCACUCUAAGGUGACUGCCGGUGACAAACCGGAGGAAGGUGGGGAUGACGUCAAAUCAUCAUGCCCCUUAUGACCUGGGCUACACACGUGCUACAAUGGAUGGUACAAAGGGCUGCGAGACCGCGAGGUUAAGCCAAUCCCAGAAAACCAUUCCCAGUUCGGAUUGCAGGCUGCAACCCG
This 539-nucleotide ribosomal RNA is filed under the name uncultured bacterium. RNAcentral's name for it is "bacterial SSU rRNA". It matches the Rfam family "Bacterial small subunit ribosomal RNA", at positions 777 to 1314 of the family's 1533-position model. The record is from RNAcentral.